UACGAGGGGAGCAAGCGUUGUUCGGAUUUACUGGGCGUAAAGGGCGCGUAGGCGGCGCAACAAGUCACUUGUGAAAUCUCCGGGCUUAACUCGGAGCGGUCAAGUGAUACUGUCGUGCUAGAGUGCAGAAGGGGCAACUGGAAUUCUUGGUGUAGCGGUGAAAUGCGUAGAUAUCAAGAGGAACACCUGCGGCGAAGGCGGGUUGCUGGGCUGACACUGACGCUGAGGCGCGAAAGCUAGGGGAGCGAACGGG
This 253-nucleotide ribosomal RNA is filed under the name uncultured prokaryote. Its description in RNAcentral is "partial 16S ribosomal RNA". It matches the Rfam family "Bacterial small subunit ribosomal RNA", at positions 524 to 776 of the family's 1533-position model. The record is from RNAcentral.